RNAcentral lists this ribosomal RNA (404 nucleotides) under uncultured bacterium. RNAcentral's name for it is "bacterial SSU rRNA". It matches the Rfam family "Bacterial small subunit ribosomal RNA", at positions 355 to 776 of the family's 1533-position model. The record is from RNAcentral.
UGGGGAAUUUUGCGCAAUGGGGGCAACCCUGACGCAGCAACGCCGCGUGGAGGAUGAAGGUUUUCGGAUUGUAAACUCCUGUCUUCAGGGAAGAAGUUGACGGUACCUGGAGAGGAAGCCCCGGCUAACUCCGUGCCAGCAGCCGCGGUAAUACGGGGGGGGCGAGCGUUGUUCGGAAUUACUGGGCGUAAAGGGCGCGUAGGCGGCCCAGGAAGUCUCGGGUGAAAGCCCCCGGCUCAACCGGGGAAGUGCCUGGGAAACCACUGGGCUGGAGUGCUGGAAAGGAAGGCGGAAUUCCCGGUGUAGCGGUGAAAUGCGUAGAGAUCGGGAGGAACAUCAGAGGCGAAGGCGGCCUUCUGGACAGACACUGACGCUGAGGCGCGAAAGCCAGGGGAGCAAACGGG